GGCGGUAGGCUUAACUCAUGCAAGUCGAGCGGUAACAGACAUUUUGAUUUUGCUUGCAAAAUCUCGUGCUGACGAGCGGCGAACGGGUGAGUAACGCGUAGGAAUCUACCUAGUAGAAGGGGAUAGCCCGAGGAAACUCGGAUUAAUACCGUAUACGUCCUUAGGGAGAAAGAGGGCUUAGCUUUGAUGCUCUCGCUAUUAGAUGAGCCUGCGUAAGAUUAGCUUGUUGGUGAGGUAAAGGCUCACCAAGGCGACGAUCUUUAGCUGGUCUGAGAGGACGAUCAGCCACAUUGGGACUGAGACACGGCCCAGACUCCUACGGGAGGCAGCAGUGGGGAAUAUUGGACAAUGGGCGCAAGCCUGAUCCAGCCAUACCGCGUGUGUGAAGAAGGCCUUCGGGUUGUAAAGCACUUUAAGUAAGGAAGAAAAGAGUAUUGUUAAUACCAAUACUCCGUGACAUUACUUACAGAAUAAGGACCGGCUAAUUCCGUGCCAGCAGCCGCGGUGAUACGGAAGGUCCAAGCGUUAAUCGGAAUUACUGCGCGU
This 546-nucleotide ribosomal RNA is filed under the name uncultured bacterium. Its description in RNAcentral is "bacterial SSU rRNA". It matches the Rfam family "Bacterial small subunit ribosomal RNA", at positions 38 to 561 of the family's 1533-position model. The record is from RNAcentral.